Molecule: ribosomal RNA, 788 nt
Filed under: uncultured bacterium
Lineage: Bacteria
Description: bacterial SSU rRNA
Rfam family: Bacterial small subunit ribosomal RNA
Source: RNAcentral
AGAGUUUGAUCAUGGCUCAGGAUGAACGCUAGCUGGAGGCUUAAUACAUGCAAGUCGAGCGGGAUUGGUAGCAAUACCAUGAGAGCGGCGCACGGGUGAGUAACGCGUACACGACCUACCUCUGACAGGGGGGAUAGCCCUGGGAAACUGGGAUUAAUACCGCAUAUUAUUCUGAUUAAUAAAGGAUUGGAAUGAAAGUUCAGGCGGUCAGAGAUGGGUGUGCGUCUGAUUAGCUAGUUGGUAGGGUAAUGGCCUACCAAGGCGAUGAUCAGUAGGGGGCGUGAGAGCGUGAUCCCCCACACGGGUACUGAGACACGGACCCGACUCCUACGGGAGGCAGCAGUAAGGAAUAUUGGACAAUGGCCGCAAGGCUGAUCCAGCCAUCCAGCGUGCAGGAAGAAGGCCCUAUGGGUUGUAAACUGCUUUUAUCAGGGAAGAAACCUCUGGAUUCACUCCGGAGCUGACGGUACCUGAAGAAUAAGCACCGGCUAACUCCGUGCCAGCAGCCGCGGUAAUACGGAGGGUGCGAGCGUUAUCCGGAAUUACUGGGUUUAAAGGGUGCGUAGGCGGCUUUGUAAGUCAGGAGUGAAAGUUUGCGGCUCAACCGUAAAAUUGCUUCUGAUACUGCAUGGCUAGAAUUAGGAUGAGGUCAGCGGAAUGUGGCAUGUAGCGGUGAAAUGCAUAGAUAUGCCAUAGAACACCAAUUGCGAAGGCAGCUGACUAGACCUGGAUUGACGCUGAGGCACGAAAGCGUGGGGAGCGAACAGGAUUAGAUACCCUAGUAGUCC